Molecule: microRNA precursor, 86 nt
Organism: Gorilla gorilla gorilla (western lowland gorilla)
Lineage: Eukaryota; Metazoa; Chordata; Mammalia; Primates; Hominidae
Source: Ensembl
GUAUUAGGUUGGUGCAAAAGUAAUUGCAGUUUUUGCCAUUACUUUCAAUGGUAAAAACCGCAAUUACUUUAGCACCAACCUAAUAU